GAUGAACGCUGGCGGCGUGCCUAAUACAUGCAAGUCGAGCGAACAGACGAUGAGCUUGCUCCUCUGACGUUAGCGGCGGACGGGUGAGUAACACGUGGAUAACCUACCUAUAAGACUGGGAUAACUUCGGGAAACCGGAGCUAAUACCGGAUAAUAUAUUGAACCGUAUGGUUCAAUAGUGAAAGACGGUGUUGCUGUCACUUAUAGAUGGAUCCGCGCCGCAUUAGCUAGUUGUUAAGGUAACGGCUUACCAAGGCAACUAUGCGUAGCCGAACUGUGAGGCUGAUAGCCCGCACUGGAGCGUGGACACGGUCCAGGCUACUACGGGAGGCAGCAGUAGGGUAUGUGACGCAGUAGGCGAGAACAUGACGGAGCAGGGGGGAGUGAGUGAUGGAGGUCUUCGGAUCGUAAAACUCUGUUAUUAGGGAAGAACCAAUGUGUAAGUAACUAUGCACGUCUUGACGGUACCUAGUCAGAAAGCAACGGCUAACUACGUG
RNAcentral lists this ribosomal RNA (497 nucleotides) under uncultured bacterium. RNAcentral's name for it is "partial 16S ribosomal RNA". It matches the Rfam family "Bacterial small subunit ribosomal RNA", at positions 28 to 507 of the family's 1533-position model. The record is from RNAcentral.